AUGACGCUUUGGAGCAUCACCCUGAGACUGGGACUAAAGUCUACCAGGGCCAGGGGAACCGAGAAGAGCAGGCUGCAGAGGUGGCUCCGCCUGCCUGGGGCAGGCAAGAAACCCAAGACGCUGGUCAGGCUUGAUGUCUGGGUGCUUCUGGCAACCUGCUGCGCCAUUGUCUGGCUGAAUAAGAGACACGCAGGUGAUGCGAAUGAAUACAGCUCAGAAUUCUUCCGAAGGAAGAAAAGGACGACGAACCCGGCGACCUGCAGUGUGGAGAUGGAGAGAUCCGGCAGCCACCGUUGCGCACUUCCCAGACAUACCAGGGGGGAGGAAAAGGAAAGGCGACGGACCUGAGAAUUAAGGCUCUGCAGCCUCACGUGCCAGGAGCAUUCUCCAUCUCUUCCUUCUCUCACCCCUUGUCUCCACUGAAACUGGAGCUGCCCACAGGCUGUCAGAUGAGAGAUAAAGGAGCCUGGCGGCACCCAGGC
Molecule: long non-coding RNA, 482 nt
Filed under: Sus scrofa (pig)
Lineage: Eukaryota; Metazoa; Chordata; Mammalia; Artiodactyla; Suidae
Description: lncRNA (ENSSSCG00060064079.1)
Source: RNAcentral